RNAcentral lists this ribosomal RNA (492 nucleotides) under uncultured bacterium. RNAcentral's name for it is "partial 16S ribosomal RNA". It matches the Rfam family "Bacterial small subunit ribosomal RNA", at positions 29 to 507 of the family's 1533-position model. The record is from RNAcentral.
AGUGAACGCUGGCGGUAGGCCUAACACAUGCAAGUCGAACGGCAGCACAGUAAGAGCUUGCUCUUACGGGUGGCGAGUGGCGGACGGGUGAGGAAUACAUCGGAAUCUACUUUUUCGUGGGGGAUAACGUAGGGAAACUUACGCUAAUACCGCAUACGACCUACGGGUGAAAGCAGGGGAUCUUCGGACCUUGCGCGAUUGAAUGAGCCGAUGUCGGAUUAGCUAGUUGGCGGGGUAAAGGCCCACCAAGGCGACGAUCCGUAGCUGGUCUGAGAGGAUGAUCAGCCACACUGGAACUGAGACACGGUCCGGACUCCUACGGGAGGCAGCAGUGGGGAAUAUUGGACAAUGGGCGCAAGCCUGAUCCAGCCAUACCGCGUGGGUGAAGAAGGCCUUCGGGUCGUAAAGCCCUUUUGUUGGGAAAGAAAAGCAGCAGGUUAAUACCCCGCUGUUCUGACGGUACCCAAAGAAUAAGCACCGGCUAACUUCGUG